UUUGCUGUCGACAGAAAUACAUCAACCCAUUACUCUUCUGUAUUAAAUGUAUACCAGCCUUUCUGGAUAAUCGAUCUGGGAGAAAUCCGGGACGUGUAUGAGGUCAGGAUCCUCCCUCAUGAGUAUGGCUCCUUCUUCAGCAACAUUGAGAUCCGUCUUGGAAUGGAUCUCCUGACAACAGGCAACUUCUCCUCCUACGUCUUGCUGGCAACAUACCCAGGUCCCUACACAUGGUCUGAUAUGGUGUACCUGUCCUGCUACUCAGAAGGGGUUCCCGGGAGGUACCUCAGUGUUCAAAAGAUGCUAUCUUUUAGUGCUACUUUGGCUCUCCGAGAAGUGGAAGUGUACGCCACGAAGAAGCCUUAAAAGAAGCCCCUUCCAGGCCAUGAAGUGCUGGACAACUACCAAUCUCAGACACUGGAAAAUCGUCAAAUGAGACAAAAGAAAAAAUCCUUAGGAUUUAGCUCUGAAUGAUUUCAUUGUCAUUCUGUCAUAUGACAAUUCAGAGGUACAACAUCUAAAGCAUUUUAAUUUCAUUUUAUCAAUGCUAACUUUAGGACCAAAGCCAUUCACAUAAUUUAGCUUGUAUGAUAUUUAUUAGCGCUUUAAUGAAGAGUUUUCAUAUUUUCUAUUGUAAUAUUUUAAGAGGAAUAGAUUAGUGUUAUUCAGUUCUAAAGGCAUUCACUGCUGCUUUCAUGAUAAUCAAGUCUUAUGAACAGUACUUAGCUCACGAAAAUAUUGGUCCUUAAAUUUUCAUUUCUAUUUUUAAGAUGAAUAUUCCUAUCUUCAGAUGUCAGAAAGAAUGUCGUAGAUAGUUAAGAAAGUUUAGAAUCAGCUAAUUGAGUGACUCAUCUCUAAACGUUAAUCUUUCUCCAUUAAGUACAGAAGAACAACCUAUAAAUAGAACAAAGCUCUUCGGAGAGCAGACAAUAUAACCAGAUAAAUACUAAGCCUACGCUAUUCCAACUUAACCAAUAAUUAAAUAGUCUUGGAGAGAGAGAGAGAGAGAGAGAGAGAGAGAGAGAGAGAGAGAGAGAGACCUUACU
This is a long non-coding RNA of Macrobrachium nipponense, 1046 nucleotides long. RefSeq lists it as uncharacterized. The record is from RefSeq and is a predicted model, not a curated record. NCBI's taxonomy places the organism in Eukaryota, Metazoa, Arthropoda, Malacostraca, Decapoda, Palaemonidae. The transcript is spliced from 2 exons.